This 540-nucleotide ribosomal RNA is filed under the name uncultured bacterium. RNAcentral describes it as "partial 16S ribosomal RNA". It matches the Rfam family "Bacterial small subunit ribosomal RNA", at positions 355 to 887 of the family's 1533-position model. The record is from RNAcentral.
UGGGGAAUUUUGGACAAUGGGGGAAACCCUGAUCCAGCCAUCCCGCGUGUGCGAUGAAGGCCUUCGGGUUGUAAGCACUUUUGGCAGGAAAGAAACGUCGCGGGUUAAUACCCCGCGAAACUGACGGUACCUGCAGAAUAAGCACCGGCUAACUACGUGCCAGCAGCCGCGGUAAUACGUAGGGUGCAAGCGUUAAUCGGAAUUACUGGGCGUAAAGCGUGCGCAGGCGGUUCGGAAAGAAAGAUGUGAAAUCCCAGAGCUUAACUUUGGAACUGCAUUUUUAACUACCGGGCUAGAGUGUGUCAGAGGGAGGUGGAAUUCCGCGUGUAGCAGUGAAAUGCGUAGAUAUGCGGAGGAACACCGAUGGCGAAGGCAGCCUCCUGGGAUAACACUGACGCUCAUGCACGAAAGCGUGGGGAGCAAACAGGAUUAGAUACCCUGGUAGUCCACGCCCUAAAACGAUGUCAAACUAGCUGUUGGGGCCUUCGGGCCUUGGUAGCGCAGCUAACGCGUGAAGUUGACCGCCUGGGGAGUACGGUC